GUUUCCGUAGUGUAGUGGUUAUCACGUGCGCCUCACACGCGCAAGGUCCGCGGUUCGAUCCCGGGCAGAAACA
This 73-nucleotide transfer RNA is filed under the name Schistocerca americana (American grasshopper). Its description in RNAcentral is "tRNA-Val". It matches the Rfam family "tRNA". From Rfam's summary of the family: Transfer RNA (tRNA) molecules are approximately 80 nucleotides in length. The record is from RNAcentral. Lineage: Eukaryota; Metazoa; Arthropoda; Insecta; Orthoptera; Acrididae.